AUUGAACGCUGGCGGCGUGCUUAACACAUGCAAGUCGAUCGGUAACAGGUGUAGCAAUACAUGCUGACGAGAGGCGGACGGGUGAGUAAUGCUUGGGAAUCUGCCUAUUAGUGGGGGACAACCCGGGGAAACUCGGGCUAAUACCGCAUACGCUCUACGGAGGAAAGCCGGGGACCGCAAGGCCUGGCGCUAAUAGAUGAGCCCAAGUCGGAUUAGCUAGUUGGUAGGGUAACGGCCUACCAAGGCGACAAUCCGUAGCUGGUCUGAGAGGACGACCAGCCACACCGGAACUGAGACACGGUCCGGACUCCUACGGGAGGGCAGCAGUGGGGAAUAUUGGACAAUGGGGGCAACCCUGAUCCAGCGACGCCGCGUGGGUGAAGAAGGCCUGCGGGUUGUAAAGCCCUUUCGGGUGGGGAAGAAAAGUCUCGACCUAAUACGUCGGGACCUUGACGUAACCCACUAAAGAAGCACCGGCUAACUCUGUGCCA
This 491-nucleotide ribosomal RNA is filed under the name uncultured bacterium. RNAcentral describes it as "bacterial SSU rRNA". It matches the Rfam family "Bacterial small subunit ribosomal RNA", at positions 29 to 510 of the family's 1533-position model. The record is from RNAcentral.